RNAcentral lists this ribosomal RNA (253 nucleotides) under uncultured bacterium. Its description in RNAcentral is "partial 16S ribosomal RNA". It matches the Rfam family "Bacterial small subunit ribosomal RNA", at positions 524 to 776 of the family's 1533-position model. The record is from RNAcentral.
GACAGAGGUCCCAAGCGUUAGGCGGAAUCACUGGGCUUAAAGCGUGUGUAGGCGGACUUGUAAGUACCUUGUGAAAUCCCACGGCUCAACCGUGGAACUGCUGGGUAUACUGCGAGUCUUGAGCCACCUAGGGGCGAGCGGAACAAGUGGUGGAGCGGUGAAAUGCGCAGAUAUCAGGAGGAACACCGGUGGCGAAGGCGGGUCUCUGGGCCGAUACUGACGCUGAGGAGCGAAAGCGUGGGGAGCGAACAGG